This 94-nucleotide microRNA precursor is filed under the name Canis lupus dingo (dingo). RNAcentral describes it as "mir-8799 microRNA precursor family". It matches the Rfam family "mir-8799 microRNA precursor family". The record is from Rfam by way of RNAcentral. Lineage: Eukaryota; Metazoa; Chordata; Mammalia; Carnivora; Canidae.
GGGGGGAGCGCCGGAUCCUGGGCUGUGUCCCAUGAUGCCCUGGGCUCCGGGGCCUGCGCCACUGAAAUCGGCUCUGGGGGCCACGCAGCCCCCU